AAUAUUUCGACAAGGGCGCCAGCCUGAUCCAGACCUGCAGCGUAAGGGCUGUAGGCCACAGGGUUGUAAAGCUCUUUCAACGGUGAAGAUAAUGACGGUGACCGUAGAAGAAGCCCGGGCAACCUCCGUUCCAGCAACCGCGGUAAUAUGAAUGGGGCUAGCGUUGUUCGGAAUUACUGGGCGUAAAGCGCACGUAGGCGGAUUGGUCAGUUAGGGGUGAAAUCCCAGGGCUGAACCCUGCAACUGCCUUGAAUACUGCCGGUCUAGAGUUCGAGAGUCGUGAGUGGAAUUCCGAGUGUAGAGGUGAAAUUCGUAGAUAUUCGGAGGAACACCAGUGGCGAAGGCGGCUCACUGUCUCGAUACUGACGCUGAGGUGCGAAAGCGUGUGGAGCAAACAG
Molecule: ribosomal RNA, 398 nt
Filed under: uncultured bacterium
Lineage: Bacteria
Description: partial 16S ribosomal RNA
Rfam family: Bacterial small subunit ribosomal RNA
Source: RNAcentral